RNAcentral lists this ribosomal RNA (495 nucleotides) under uncultured bacterium. RNAcentral's name for it is "partial 16S ribosomal RNA". It matches the Rfam family "Bacterial small subunit ribosomal RNA", at positions 28 to 505 of the family's 1533-position model. The record is from RNAcentral.
GAUGAACGCUGGCGGCGUGCCUAAUACAUGCAAGUCGAGCGAACAGACGAGGAGCUUGCUCCUCUGACGUUAGCGGCGGACGGGUGAGUAACACGUGGAUAACCUACCUAUAAGACUGGGAUAACUUCGGGAAACCGGAGCUAAUACCGGAUAAUAUAUUGAACCGCAUGGUUCAAUAGUGAAAGACGGUUUUGCUGUCACUUAUAGAUGGAUCCGCGCCGCAUUAGCUAGUUGGUAAGGUAACGGCUUACCAAGGCAACGAUGCGUAGCCGACCUGAGAGGGUGAACGGCCACACUGGAACUGAGACACGGUCCAGACUCCUACGGGAGGCAGCAGUAGGGAAUCUUCCGCAAGGGGCGAAAGCUUGACGGAGCAACGCCGCGUGAGUGAUGAAGGUCUUCGGAUCGUAAAACUCUGUUAUUAGGGAAGAACAAAUGUGUAAGUAACUAUGCACGUCUUGACGGUACCUAAUCAGAAAGCCACGGCUAACUACG